GUGUCUCAACUGGUAGAGCAAGGCAUCCGCACUGCCAGGGAUAUGGGGUUCAAUUCCCCACUGGCGGCCA
This is a non-coding RNA of Merluccius polli (Benguela hake), 70 nucleotides long. NCBI's taxonomy places the organism in Eukaryota, Metazoa, Chordata, Actinopteri, Gadiformes, Merlucciidae. The record is from the annotation of a GenBank genome assembly.